Molecule: ribosomal RNA, 784 nt
Filed under: uncultured Campylobacterota bacterium
Lineage: Bacteria; Pseudomonadati; Campylobacterota
Description: bacterial SSU rRNA
Rfam family: Bacterial small subunit ribosomal RNA
Source: RNAcentral
UAUAGUUAAUCUGCCUCUUAGAGAGGGAUAGCCACUGGAAACGGUGAUUAAUACCUCAUACUCCUAGUUCCGUAAGGGAAUUAGGGAAAGUUUUUCGCUAAGAGAUGAGACUAUAUUGUAUCAGGUAGUUGGUAGGGUAAUGGCCUACCAAGCCUAUGACACAUAGCUGGUCUGAGAGGAUGAUCAGCCACACUGGUACUGAGACACGGACCAGACUCCUACGGGAGGCAGCAGUGGGGAAUAUUGCACAAUGGAGGAAACUCUGAUGCAGCAACGCCGCGUGGAGGAUGACGCAUUUCGGUGUGUAAACUCCUUUUAUAUGGGAAGAUAAUGACGGUACCAUAUGAAUAAGCACCGGCUAACUCCGUGCCAGCAGCCGCGGUAAUACGGAGGGUGCAAGCGUUACUCGGAAUCACUGGGCGUAAAGCGCGCGCAGGCGGCUUUGAAAGUCAGAUGUGAAAGCCUAUGGCUCAACCAUAGAACUGCAUUUGAAACUUUAAAGCUAGAGUCUGGGAGAGGAAGAUGGAAUUAGUUGUGUAGGGGUAAAAUCCGUAGAGAUAACUAGGAAUACCAAAAGCGAAGGCGAUCUUCUGGAACAGUACUGACGCUGAGGCGCGAAAGCGUGGGGAGCAAACAGGAUUAGAUACCCUGGUAGUCCACGCCCUAAACGAUGAAUGUUAGUCGUUGGGAGGCUAGUCCUUUCAGUGAUGCAGCUNACGCAUUAAACAUUCCGCCUGGGGAGUACGGUCGCAAGAUUAAAACUCAAAGGAAUAGACGGGGACCC